GUACCCCNCCUGGGGAGUACGGCCGCAAGGCUAAAACUCAAAGGAAUUGACGGGGCCCCGCACAAGCGGCGGAGCAUGCGGAUUAAUUCGAUGCAACGCGAAGAACCUUACCUGGGUCUGACAUAUGCCGGAAGCGUUCAGAGAUGGGCGUGCCUUUUUGGUCGGUUUACAGGUGGUGCAUGGCUGUCGUCAGCUCGUGUCGUGAGAUGUUGGGUUAAGUCCCGCAACGAGCGCAACCCUCGUCCAAUGUUGCCAGCGGGUUAUGCCGGGGACUCAUUGGAGACCGCCGGGGUCAACUCGGAGGAAGGUGGGGAUGACGUCAAGUCAUCAUGCCCCUUAUGUCCAGGGCUUCACGCAUGCUACAAUGGCCGGUACAGUGAGCUGCGAGCCUGUGAGGGUGAGCGAAUCUCUAAAAGCCGGUCUCAGUUCGGAUUGGGGUCUGCAACUCGACCCCAUGAAGUCGGAGUCGCUAGUAAUCGCAGAUCAGCAACGCUGCGGUGAAUACGUUCCCGGGGCUUGUACACACCGCCCGUCAAGUCAUGAAAGUCGGUAACACCCGAAGCCGGUGGCCUAACCCGUUUGGGAGGGAG
RNAcentral lists this ribosomal RNA (590 nucleotides) under uncultured bacterium. RNAcentral's name for it is "bacterial SSU rRNA". It matches the Rfam family "Bacterial small subunit ribosomal RNA", at positions 864 to 1452 of the family's 1533-position model. The record is from RNAcentral.